UUUUAAGGCUUGAUAUCCAAACAAAAGAGGU
RNAcentral lists this non-coding RNA (31 nucleotides) under Rattus norvegicus (Norway rat). The record is from RNAcentral. Lineage: Eukaryota; Metazoa; Chordata; Mammalia; Rodentia; Muridae.